UAAACUCCCCUGGUGAUUUUAAUUUGUCA
Molecule: non-coding RNA, 29 nt
Filed under: Mus musculus (house mouse)
Lineage: Eukaryota; Metazoa; Chordata; Mammalia; Rodentia; Muridae
Source: RNAcentral